GAAAUGCGAUAAGUAAUGUGAAUUGCAGAAUUCAGUGAAUCAUCGGAUCUUUGAACGCACCUUGCGCUCCUUGGUAUUCCUUGGAGCACGCCUGUUUGAGUAUCAUGAAAUCUUCAAAGUAAAUCUUUUGUUAACUCAAUUGGUUUCUACUUUGGUAUUGGAGGUCUUUGCAGCUUCACACCUGCUCCUCUUUGUUCAUUAGCUGGAUCUCAGUGUUAUGCUUGGUUCCACUCGGCGUGAUAAGUUAUCUAUCGCUGAGGACACUGUAAAAGGUGGCCAAGGUAAAUGCAGAUGAACCGCUUCUAAUAGUCCAUUGACUUGGACAAUACUUUUAUGAUCUGAUCUCAAAUCAGGUAGGACUACCCGCUGAACUUAAGC
Molecule: unclassified non-coding RNA, 378 nt
Filed under: plant metagenome
Description: partial contains 5.8S ribosomal RNA, internal transcribed spacer 2, and large subunit ribosomal RNA
Rfam family: 5.8S ribosomal RNA (bases 1-105)
Source: RNAcentral